Molecule: non-coding RNA, 4788 nt
Organism: Xyrichtys novacula (pearly razorfish)
Lineage: Eukaryota; Metazoa; Chordata; Actinopteri; Labriformes; Labridae
Source: the annotation of a GenBank genome assembly
UUCUCUUUUUUCAGUUUUUCUUUUUCUUUUGUUUUCCUUCAUUCAAUUUCUAUCUUUCAUUCUAUUUCUCUAUCUUUUUAUCUUUUUUUAUCUUUUUUUUUAUUAUGUUAACAUUUGACUAUAUGAAUUAUAUAUUCAUGGAAUCUUUUGGGUUGGGACUGUGUUCGGUGUGCAUCUUGUGCUCAAAUGUGAUAAUGCAGAUGUUCAGUUUCCUUAAUUUAUCUCAGUGAUUUUUGUAUCACUGAAAGUUCCAAUGCUUUUCUCUGCUGAUGGCAUUAAGCUCAGAAAUACACAAAACUUGAACAGGCAUGAGAAAGUAAAAGUUUGGUCAGAGUGCACCGCUCUGCCAGUUCCUGGAAGCAGUUUAUACCAAACUUACAAAAGUAAAUCUCUAGUUAGCACUCACAGCAACCCCUUGCUCCUCACCGAACACUUCCAUGAAGCCUCUGUGCUUUCUUACGCUUCCUGGGUCACAAGGUCUGUCAGGAAUUUUCAGUGCUUAUAAUGAAUAUAAACUGAAUAUCACCUGUGCCAUCCCACUCCCCAUCCAGCCCCUUAGUAACCCAAUUUCUCUGAAGGAGAGUGAAGGGGACUGGAAGCAAAGGGAAUGAGCAUCACACAGUGGAAGCGGAAAUGAGGAACAGAGCAACAAUGGCACCAGAGAAGAAACACCAGAAAGUAUUUCAUCCAGAACCCUGCCUUCAUGUAAAAGUAUAAAUACAGUGUUAAAGCAUAAUAUGUGUAAAUAUGUGUAAGUGACAUACAGAGUAUUUAACAAGACAGUUUAGACUUAUAAUUUAAAAAAAAAAAAAAAAAGUUUAUUGAAUCAAAUUAACCUGAGGCAUUAACCUGAAACUGCUUGGUAUGUAAGGGAAAUGGCUUUUGACUGCUUUGGCUUUUUGACCACUUAAUAACCAUUUAUCAUUGAACAUAAAAGGUCUUGGCUCAUCAAUAAGGUUAAGAAUAUGAAACACCCAUUACAGCAUUUUGUGAAAAAUUCAGAAAAACAAAAUGUCUGGAAUCACAUGCAGACAAAGCUGAACAUAUACUUGCAUCAUUGCGCUUAACAAAGAUAAACUCUUGUUAAAUAAUUUUGUGGAUUUUUAUCAUGUUGAGCAUAUUUGUCUGAGAGACUUUAUACCUCUUUAGCCAUACAGUUGCUUAUAAAUCUGUUCACAUCUCACAAAAAGCUCGACAAGGAGAAAAUGUUCCACUCUACUGCACGGAAAAAAAUCAGUCUCUCCUAUAAUAGCUCUGGGCAAUUUCAGACCACACAGAGUGACAAGGGAAUCAAUUUUCCUGGUUAGGUUAUAGAUGGAAUUUCUUCUGCUGCUCCUCUCAUAAGAAAUAACUGAGAUAUGUUAUACAAAUUAUUAAGAAAUCCUCUGUAGUGUUUCACGGGAUACACCACUUUCCAGAAACCUAAUUACUACUGUUAAUAUUGGACAUUCAGGGAGGAUUCCUGGAAUUCGUUUUUGCUGAUCUUGCUUAAUACUCUGGUCCAAAAACUCAGCACAGGGAAAUUAUAAAGUAACACGCUCAUGUGUGCAGCAUAUUAAAGAGUGAAUAAAUGAUGAGGGUUCCAUAUGAACGCAAUUGACUUAGUUCCACUCAUUGAGAAAGAGAUGGUGAGUAGAUGGAUCCAGUCUGACCUCAUGUGGAUGGAGUUAAAUAAAGCAGUUAACAAAAACUAUAACCUAGUCUGUAAAAAAGGGACUGACUGCUUCCUCUUCUCUCUUGUUAAAGCUCCUAUGAAGAAUUUUCCAUUUGUGCCAAAUUUGGCACUCCCUGUGGACAAAGCAGUCUUUGCUUAUCCCAUCCUCUACAUGCCUUAGUAGUGACCGUUUGGUAACACUUUACAAUAACCAUAACUUAUAAAUGGCAAAUAGACCAUUUAUAAGUGGUAAGCAGAUAGUUUAUUAAUGUUUAAUCAUGAUUUAUAAAUAGCAUAUAGACCAUAAAUAAAUUGCUAAUUGUACAGUUUUAAAAACCUAACCCUAACCCUAACUUUACAAUAACCAAAGUAAUGUUUAUAGGUGUAAUGUUUACAAAUUGUAGUCUAGAUGUUUUACAACCAAUAUUUAAACCCAAAAUAAACCUUUAAUAAAUAGUCCAUUAAUAUUCAAUGAAAAUUAUUAAUCAUAAUUUCAUUGCUUGUUAAUGGUACAGAAACUAUUGACUUCAGAUUCAUUCAAACUAUGUCAGGAGGCAAAGUCACGUUGUCCAUACUAUACACAGUCUAUGUUAAAAGUUAAGAGUUGAGCUGUCCAAACUGAUCCUUCAGAUUCAUUAAACCCGGGGAAUCAUCAAUUUGAGGAAUGAAUGAGCUACUUAUCAAACUUGUCAGCUUCAGUAAAGGCACAUCAGAUAACGAAAGCUAAGAGCUACAAGGUAUUUGUAAAUUUUACACAGGUGACUUGUCAGAGUGAUGUUAAUGCUUUGUAAGUAGCAACUUAUCAUGAGCAGACAAUGUAAUUAGUUUGGACAGAUAAUUUCCCUUCAGCAAUGACACACCUAAUAUUAGACAGUGAUAGUAUUGAGGGAAUUAAGUUGGAACUCUUUUUCAAAAAUCUAUUUUUAGAUUUAAAAAAUGUGAGGGGUCUUAAGAUAACAUUUGUUGUGAGUUGGCACUAUGCAGAUGGAUUGACAUAACAUAAAUUAAUUAGAUUUUUUGCCUAUGUGGAGAGUGAAUGCACAUUACAGUAGUUAAUAUGGAUAAAACACCCAGAUCAACCAACUUCCCUUGGCAUCAUGCAUCUCCUAAAAAAUAUUUCACUUUAAUAAUCUUAAUUGUGAUUAUAUUAUGGAAAAUAAUAAAUAAUGAACAUCAUGAAUGUUAUUAUCUGUCAUCAUUGUGAUAAUACCAAGAUGGCGUAGCACAAGGGUGCCUUUGUACUUUGCUCUCUCAUACUUUUUGUUCAAUUUUCUGUUCCCCUUCUUUGGUAUCAUUCACUAGAGAAAAACUCUUAAACAUGGGACAGUUUUUUCCUAAUGUCACAGUGUUUAAGUAAUCAUGCCGCCUCCAUUUAAAGACCCUUUUCCUGAACUGAGAACUGUUUUAUUCAUAAUGGAAGUUAUCUUUGUUUGUUCUCGUCAGUGUUUACAUCCCACUUUAAGUGUGUGUAAAGGGGGCAUUACAACAGCUGGCUGACCAGAUAACAGAUGUAAAGAAAAACAUCCAGACUCCCUGCUCAUCAUUCUUUUAACAGAGCCAGUCUCACUCAAGGAUUUCCUAAAUAUAGUCAGUGUCUUACCAGGGACACUAACACUCUGGACCACUGCUACACUGUUUUAAAGGAUGCUUAUCACUCUGUACUCCACGCAGCUUUGGGCCUGUCUGAUCACUGUCUGGUCCAUCUCAUCCCGACCUACAGGCAGAAAUUAAAAACCGCUAAGCCUGUAUUGAGGACUUUACGGAGUGGACAGAGGAGUCAAGGCUGGAGCGACAGGUCUGCUUUUUCUGCACUGAUUUGAGUGUAUUUGAAGCAGCAGAUACAACUCUUUACAAACUCACUGAUGCUGCAACAUCUUACAUCAGCUUUUGUGAGGAUGUGUGUGCAGACUGAGAUUUUCUGCAGAUACAGCAACAGUAAACUCUGUGUUACACCUAAGCUGUAGAAGCUGCACACUGACAAAGGAGAUCAGGGUAGCAAAGUGGAGAUACACCAAAAAGGUCAUAAAAAAAACAGCUUUUCGGCCAACAACCCUGCAUCAGUGUUGAGAGACCUGCAGAACAUCACCAACUGCAGUCAAGCUUCACAUGUUAUCAUGUGAGAUUAAAGGUCUGCUUUAAAACUGUUUUAAGUAGUUGUGUGUAUCUGUACGUGUAUGUACACAAGAGCCCACUACAGUUUUUUUUAAGCUUCUGUUGGUUAUUUCAUGAAAGCUUAAGACAGCUUAACUGUCCCUGACUCCACGGACAAGUGUGAAUCAAAAAUACAGAUUUAACAGGAUAAUUAUCUAAUAAAUAACAGAUUCAGAAUAACUACCCAAAAAAUGUUGGCUGUUCUGUUACAUUCAUGUGAAUAAAACAAAUAGAUAACGUAUAAUUCUCUUAAGUAUGUUGAAUUGGACUACCUGACGUGUAAACCCUUUCGAACCCUGUCUGUCAUAUGUUGGCUUAAAUAUCUCUACCAUUCUCACUCAAGGGUUGCUAUCACAGCUUUGAACAUGCUGCCAUAAAAAAUGAUGUCUUAUGUUCUUGCGUCUAUGUACCUUUCUUUGAAUAUAUGAACCUAUCAUGUACGGUAAUGUGCACUUGAUUUAUUUCACUUUUAUUUUAUGUACCUAUUUUAUUUGUAUAAGAUGAUUCCUGAAUCUCUCGUCUGUAUAAAAUUUGAACAUAAUGUGCAUGUGUGAGCCAAAUGUUUGUUUGUUUGUUUCAUUAUGUGUUCUUUUUUGUUUCUGGAAAAGUUUAGUAAACAUAUAUCCUAAAAAAAAACACGACAAUUUAAAAAAAUCUUGAAUCUUUAAUCUUGACCUUCUGAUUUGACAUUGUAAUCAUUACCUGUUGUUAAAAUGUUUGUUUGUUUGUUUUUUGUUUGUUUGUUUGUUUUUUACCAUGCGUCCUUUUUUUGUUUUUGGAAAAGUUUACUAAUAUCAUAUAUAACAUAUAAUAACAUAUAUCCAAAAAAAAAAAAAAAACAUGCACAUGACAAUAAAACAAAUCUUGAAUCUUGAUAUUGACCUUCCCUAUUACUAUAAGAUAACUUUUUUUUUUAACUUUUUAUUUCUUUUAUAUUCCAGUAAGCUUCUCUUGUUUUGUUUUUGUUUUGUUUUGUUUUGCUU